CACAAGCAGCGGAGCGUGUGGUUUAAUUCGAGGCUACACGAAGAACCUUACCUGGGUUUGACAUAGCGGUGGUAGGGAACCGAAAGGGGACCGACCUUCGGGAGCCGUUACAGGUGCUGCAUGGCUGUCGUCAGCUCGUGUCGUGAGAUGUUCGGUUAAGUCCGAAAACGAGCGCAACCCUCGGACGUAGUUACAGGUGUCUACGUCGACUGCCCGGGAGAACCGGGAGGAAGGUGGGGAUGACGUCAAGUCAGCAUGGCCUUGAUAUCCAGGGCUACACACACGCUACAAUGGUCGGUACAGAGGGCAGCUACCUGGUGACAGGAUGCUAAUCUCGAAAACCGGUCUCAGUUCGGAUCGAAGUCUGCAACUCGACUUCGUGAAGCUGGAUUCGCUAGUAAUCGCGCAUCAGCUAUGGCGCGGUGAAUACGUUCCCGGGCCUU
This 443-nucleotide ribosomal RNA is filed under the name uncultured Anaerolineaceae bacterium. Its description in RNAcentral is "bacterial SSU rRNA". It matches the Rfam family "Bacterial small subunit ribosomal RNA", at positions 924 to 1382 of the family's 1533-position model. Lineage: Bacteria; Bacillati; Chloroflexota; Anaerolineae; Anaerolineales; Anaerolineaceae. The record is from RNAcentral.